This 21-nucleotide non-coding RNA is filed under the name Caenorhabditis elegans. Lineage: Eukaryota; Metazoa; Nematoda; Chromadorea; Rhabditida; Rhabditidae. The record is from RNAcentral.
UGUCAAUAGAAUUUAGUUUUU